UACAGAGGUCUCAAGCGUUGUUCGGAAUCACUGGGCGUAAAGGGUGCGUAGGCCGCACGGUAAGUCAGAGGUGAAAUCCCGGAGCUCAACUCCGGAAUGGCCUCCGAUACUGCCGUGCUCGAGGACUGGAGAGGAGUCUGGAAUUCACAGUGGAGCAGUGAAAUGCGUGGAUAUUGUGAGGAACACUAGUGGCGAAGGCGAGACUCUGGACAGUUCCUGAUGCUGAGGCACGAAGGUCAGGGGAGCAAACGGG
RNAcentral lists this ribosomal RNA (253 nucleotides) under uncultured bacterium. RNAcentral's name for it is "partial 16S ribosomal RNA". It matches the Rfam family "Bacterial small subunit ribosomal RNA", at positions 524 to 776 of the family's 1533-position model. The record is from RNAcentral.